RNAcentral lists this small RNA (664 nucleotides) under Drosophila pseudoobscura pseudoobscura. RNAcentral describes it as "GA30628". Lineage: Eukaryota; Metazoa; Arthropoda; Insecta; Diptera; Drosophilidae. The record is from RNAcentral.
GCGAUUUUGAAUGAGUUGUACGCGGCGCGAGUUUCGAGUUUCGAUUUUCGAGUGUGGAGUGUGGUGUCCAUCGAGAGAGUCUCCCGCAAUCACGAAAGAUCCCCAAAUCCAAUCCGAGAUUCGAGCUCGUGCGUGUUGUGUGUGUACCCGCCACAAAUGAUAAUUGUGUGCAACAAGCGGCGAAUGCAGGCCAACAGCAACAGCAGCAACAGAAGCGACCAAAUCAACGUCCAAAUCUAUAGCAUUUGCAAUCUACAUGCGUCCGUCUAACUGUAAAGCACUGUGCAACGGUCCAGCAGCACGAGCAAGUGGCACCACAUCCGAAACAUCUGCAGCAACCUGCCCCGUAACCUGAAGACCGCAUAGAAAACACUCCAUACAUACAUAUAUACCCACAUAUUGUACGAAAGAUCGGAUAUUGGACAUUGGAUAUUGCUUCCAAACAUACACACAUACCUCGAACUCAACUCAAUUUAAUGUUAUAGAACGAUGGCAUCGGCCAUAAUCACAACGACAACGGUGACGGCAACAGGUAGUACUAUGCUCGAGCUAGACCAUCAGCGCCAAAGGCCGUUGCGCGGUAUUUCAAUAGUCAUUGAAUCUGCUCAGCCAGCAGCAACACCAACAACACCAACAGCACCAGUAGAAAAAACAACAACAACAA